AGCGGAUGAAGGGAGCUUGCUCCUGGAUUCAGCGGCGGACGGGUGAGUAAUGCCUAGGAAUCUGCCUGGUAGUGGGGGAUAACGUCCGGAAACGGGCGCUAAUACCGCAUACGUCCCGAGGGAGAAAGUGGGGGAUCUUCGGACCUCACGCUAUCAGAUGAGCCUAGGUCGGAUUAGCUAGUUGGUGGGGUAAAGGCCUACCAAGGCGACGAUCCGUAACUGGUCUGAGAGGAUGAUCAGUCACACUGGAACUGAGACACGGUCCAGACUCCUACGGGAGGCAGCAGUGGGGAAUAUUGGACAAUGGGCGAAAGCCUGAUCCAGCCAUGCCGCGUGUGUGAAGAAGGUCUUCGGAUUGUAAAGCACUUUAAGUUGGGAGGAAGGGCAGUAAGUUAAUACCUUGCUGUUUUGACGUUACCAACAGAAUAAGCACCGGCUAACUUCGUGCCAGCAGCCGCGGUAAUACGAAGGG
RNAcentral lists this ribosomal RNA (472 nucleotides) under uncultured anaerobic bacterium. Its description in RNAcentral is "bacterial SSU rRNA". It matches the Rfam family "Bacterial small subunit ribosomal RNA", at positions 65 to 532 of the family's 1533-position model. The record is from RNAcentral.